GUGUCGUAUGAAAGGAGAGAAGUUCCACUCCCUUGAUAGAGAUGGAAGAAGCCCUUGGGUCCUUGGNUUUAAUAACACAUGGACAGUUAAGGCAUUGCCACAUGCUUUGUGGCAUCUAACCACUGUUGUAC
This 131-nucleotide non-coding RNA is filed under the name Neotoma lepida (desert woodrat). The record is from RNAcentral. Lineage: Eukaryota; Metazoa; Chordata; Mammalia; Rodentia; Cricetidae.